AUUGGCCAGGGCGGGGAGAUGGAGGCUGUGUUCAGGCUGGUCCACGCUGGGUCACCCAUGUGACCUGCUGCUUAGCAAUUCUUUGUCACCAUCUUCCCUUCUCAGCCUCUUUUUCCAUGCUAAGAGGCAUAAAUGAAAUGAUAAAAGUUUGAGCUCUUCUCAUGGAAUUCUUGUGAUACAGAUAUGUGCUACAUGUUCACUAUCUCAUUGGUCUUCACCAUGAUAACUGUGGAGUAAGAAUUAUCAGCAGUUCGCAGAUUAUGGACUUGAGACUGACAGUUUGGCUUCCCUGUUCCAGGUGGCAAAGCCUGUGGGGUAUUCACCUACCUGCUGCAUGAAGGCAGCAUGGAGGGACUGUGGUGGAUUAUCUGCAAAGAUGGCCCAAAUUCUCUCAUCCCUGCAGGUACAUACAAGCCAGGUUUCCAGAAGUUCCCUAGUCAUUGGGCAUUUCUGAGACUCUUGAUGCAUAUGCCAAGUAGUUAUGGAGAAAGACAUAGCCGCUUACCUCUGCAGGCAUCAUUGUGUGAAAGGAAGACCGAGGCUGUCUCACCACCCUUGAAGAGAAGCCU
RNAcentral lists this long non-coding RNA (569 nucleotides) under Pongo abelii (Sumatran orangutan). Its description in RNAcentral is "lincRNA". The record is from RNAcentral. Lineage: Eukaryota; Metazoa; Chordata; Mammalia; Primates; Hominidae.